AGAGUUUCUUUUUGGGUCGGGAUGAACGCUGGCGGCGUGCCUAACACAUGCAAGUCGAGCGAUUCUCUUCGGAGAAGAGCGGCGGACGGGUGAGUAACGCGUGGGUAACCUGCCUUAUACACAUGGAUAACAUACCGAAAGGUAUGCUAAUACAAGAUGAUAUAAGAGAUUCGCAUGGAUUUCUUAUCAAAGCUCCGGCGGUAUGAGAUGGACCCGCGUCUGAUUAGCUACUUGGUAAGGUAACGGCUUACCAAGGCAACGAUCAGUAGCCGACCUGAGAGGGUGAUCGGCCACAUUGGAACUGAGACACGGUCCAAACUCCUACGGGAGGCAGCAGUGGGGAAUAUUGCACAAUGGGCGACAGCCUGAUUGCAGCAACGCCGCGUGAAGUGAUAAAGGCCUUCGGGUUGUAAAACUCUGUCCUCAAGGAAGAUAAUGACGGUACUUGAGGAGGAAAGCCCCGGCUAACUACGUGCCAGCAGCCGCGGUAAUACGUAGGGGGCUAGCGUUAUCCGGAUUUACUGGGCGUAAAGGGUGCGUAGGUGGUUUCUUAAGUCAGGAGUGAAAGGCUACGGCUCAACCGUAGUAAGCUCUUGAAACUGGGGAACUUGAGUGCAGGAGAGGAAAGUGGAAUUCCUAGUGUAGCGGUGAAAUGCGUAGAUAUUAGGAGGAACACCAGUAGCGAAGGCGGCUUUCUGGACUGUAACUGACACUGAGGCACGAAAGCGUGGGGAGCAAACAGGAUUAGAUACCCUGGUAGUCCACGCCGUAAACGAUGAGUACUAGGGGUCGGGGGUUACCCCCCUCGGUGCCGCAGCUAACGCAUUAAGUACUCCGCCUGGGGAGUACGCUCGCAAGAGUGAAACUCAAAGGGAAUUGACGGGGGACCCGCACAAGUAGCGGAGCAUGUGGUUUAAUUGGAAGCAACGCGAAGAACCUUACCUAAGCUUGACAUCCUUUUGACCGAUGCCUAAUCGCAUCUUUCCCUUCGGGGACAGAAGUGACAGGUGGUGCAUGGUUGUCGUCAGCUCGUGUCGUGAGAUGUUGGGUUAAGUCCCG
Molecule: ribosomal RNA, 1059 nt
Filed under: uncultured bacterium
Lineage: Bacteria
Description: bacterial SSU rRNA
Rfam family: Bacterial small subunit ribosomal RNA
Source: RNAcentral